GACGAACGCUGGCGGCGUGCUUAACACAUGCAAGUCGAACGGAAAGGCCCUGCUUUUGUGGGGUGCUCGAGUGGCGAACGGGUGAGUAACACGUGAGUAACCUGCCCUUGACUUUGGGAUAACUUCAGGAAACUGGGGCUAAUACCGGAUAGGAGCUCCUGCUGCAUGGUGGGGGUUGGAAAGUUUCGGCGGUUGGGGAUGGUCUCGCGGCUUAUCAGCUUGUUGGUGGGGUAGUGGCUUACCAAGGCUUUGACGGGUAGCCGGCCUGAGAGGGUGACCGGCCACAAUGGGACUGAGAUAGGGCCCAGUCUCCAACGGGCGGCAGCAGUGGGAAAUAUUGCAGAAUGGGCGGAAGCCUGAUGCAGCAACGCCGCGUGCGGGAUGACGGCCUUCUAGUUGUAAACCGAUUUCGCCUGUGACGAAGCGUGAGUGACGGUAAUGGGUAAAGAAGCACCGGCUAACUACGUG
RNAcentral lists this ribosomal RNA (468 nucleotides) under uncultured bacterium. Its description in RNAcentral is "partial 16S ribosomal RNA". It matches the Rfam family "Bacterial small subunit ribosomal RNA", at positions 28 to 507 of the family's 1533-position model. The record is from RNAcentral.